AGUAAGGAGUGAGUAGCUCACAGACGGUUUCGGCCCAUCUUAUGGUAGUGCAAUUCUACUCUUACUU
Molecule: transfer RNA, 67 nt
Filed under: Lepetodrilus nux
Lineage: Eukaryota; Metazoa; Mollusca; Gastropoda; Lepetellida; Lepetodrilidae
Description: tRNA-Arg
Source: RNAcentral